This 76-nucleotide transfer RNA is filed under the name Vampirovibrio sp. Its description in RNAcentral is "tRNA-Gly". It matches the Rfam family "tRNA". From Rfam's summary of the family: Transfer RNA (tRNA) molecules are approximately 80 nucleotides in length. Their secondary structure includes four short double-helical elements and three loops (D, anti-codon, and T loops). Lineage: Bacteria; Bacillati; Candidatus Melainabacteria; Vampirovibriophyceae; Vampirovibrionales; Vampirovibrionaceae. The record is from RNAcentral.
GCGGGUGUAACUCAGUUGGUAGAGUACUUGCUUCCCAAGCAAGCUGUCGCGCGUUCGAGUCGCGUCGCCCGCUCCA